ACCACACCCUCAGGAGUCUCUAGCAGG
This 27-nucleotide non-coding RNA is filed under the name Mus musculus (house mouse). Lineage: Eukaryota; Metazoa; Chordata; Mammalia; Rodentia; Muridae. The record is from RNAcentral.